This 233-nucleotide ribosomal RNA is filed under the name uncultured bacterium. Its description in RNAcentral is "partial 16S ribosomal RNA". It matches the Rfam family "Bacterial small subunit ribosomal RNA", at positions 118 to 347 of the family's 1533-position model. The record is from RNAcentral.
UGAGUAACCUGCCCCAGACUCUGGAAUAACCCCGGGAAACCGGAGCUAAUACCGGAUACGAGACGAAGCUGCAUGGCUAUCGUCUGGAAAGUUUUUCGGUCUGGGAUGGACUCGCGGCCUAUCAGCUUGUUGGUGAGGUAAUGGCUCACCAAGGCGACGACGGGUAGCCGGCCUGAGAGGGCGACCGGCCACACGUGGGACUGAGACACGGCCCAGACUCCGUACGGGAGCAG